UUCGAUUAAGCCAUGCGAGUCGAGAGUCUUAGGGACUCGGCGUACCGCUCAGUAACACGUGGGUAACCUUCCCUAUGCUGGGGAAUAACCUCGGGAAACUGAGAAUAAUGCCCCAUAGUCCACAAUGCCUGGAACGGUUUGUGGAUCAAAGCUCCGGCGGCAUAGGAUGGGCCUGCGGCGUAUCAGGUUGUAGGGGGUGUAACGUACCCUCUAGCCAUCAACGCGUACGGGUGUUGGGAGACAUAGCCCGGAGAUGGAUUCUGAGACACGAAUCCAGACCCUACGGGGUGCAGCAGGCGCGAAAACUUGGCAAUGCGAGAAAUCGUGACCAGGGAACUCCAAGUGGCUGGGGUAAGACCCAGUCUUUUCUUGACUCUUCAACGGUCUUGGAAUAAGGGGUGGGUAAGGACGGUGCCAGCCGCCGCGGUAAUACCGGCGCCUCAAGUGGUAGUCGAUUUUAUUGGGCCUAAAACGUCCGUAGCCUGUUUGGUACAUUCGUGGGUAAAUCAACCAGCUCAACUGGUUGAAUUCUGCGAGCACGGCCAGACUUGGGACCGGGAGAGGUGUGGGGUACGCUCAGGGUAGGGGUAAAAUCCUGUCAUCCUGAGCGGACCACCUGUUGCGAAGGCGCCACACUAGAACGGAUCCGACGGUCAGGGACGAAGCCUAGGGGCACGAACCGGAUUAGAUACCCGGGUAGUCCUAGGUGUAAACGCUGUGGACUUGGUGUUGGGGACUCUCCGAGAUUCCUCAGUGCCGAAGCGAAGGUGAUAAGUCCACUGCCUGGGGAGUACGGUCGCAAGGCUGAAACUUAAAGGAAUUGGCGGGGGAGCACCGCAACCUGAGGAUUGUGCG
Molecule: ribosomal RNA, 855 nt
Filed under: uncultured archaeon
Lineage: Archaea
Description: bacterial SSU rRNA
Rfam family: Archaeal small subunit ribosomal RNA
Source: RNAcentral